Molecule: ribosomal RNA, 446 nt
Filed under: uncultured bacterium
Lineage: Bacteria
Description: partial 16S ribosomal RNA
Rfam family: Bacterial small subunit ribosomal RNA
Source: RNAcentral
CCUACGGGUGGCUGCAGUCGAGAAUCAUUCACAAUGGGGGAAACCCUGAUGAGGCGACGCCGCGUGGGGGAAUGAAGGUCUUCGGAUUGUAAACCCCUGUCAUGUGGGAGCAAAUUAAAAAGAUAGUACCACAAGAGGAAGAGACGGCUAACUCUGGGCCAGCAGCCGCGGUAAUACAGAGGUCUCAAGCGUUGUUCGGAAUCACUGGGCGUAAGGCGUGCGUAGGCUGUUUCGUAAGUCGGAUGUGAAAGGCGCGGGCUCAACCCGCGGACGGCACAUGAUACUGCGAGACUAGAGUAAUGGAGGGGGAACCGGAAUUCUCGGUGUAGCAGUGAAAUGCGUAGAUAUCGAGAGGAACACUCGUGGCGAAGGCGGGUUCCUGGACAUUAACUGACGCUGAGGCACGAAGGCCAGGGGAGCGAAAGGGAUUAGAUACCCGUGUAGUC